This is a long non-coding RNA of Mauremys reevesii (Reeves's turtle), 733 nucleotides long. RefSeq lists it as uncharacterized. The record is from RefSeq and is a predicted model, not a curated record. Lineage: Eukaryota; Metazoa; Chordata; Testudines; Geoemydidae. The transcript has 3 exons.
ACAAUCAGGCUCCAUUUGUGUGUGUGUGUGGUUUUUUUGUUUUUUUUUGAGGGGGGGAGGGAAGAGAAACGUUAUGUACACUAGCUUGCCAGUUAUGCAGCUUUGGCUCAAAAAGGAUCCAUCAGAAAAAAUUGAAUAGUAAAUCGUCUGCCUUAUUCAUCACUGUUGGCACUACUGUCAAGGCUGAUAGGCACUGGCUUCAAAUCCAAUCAUUUGCACUGCAGCUGUAACAAACUUGCCACGCAUCCCGCCCUCGCUCGGUAAACUUUUCCAUAGUGAGCACCAUGAGGGCAGAUGACCAUGUGGUGGAUUAAACAAGUUUCCUGCAAUGAUUGAUGCUGUCUGAUAUAUAAAAUGUUCAGUAAUGAACGAGGCAGAAUUUCAUCUGGGAUCUAAAAUGAGCAGCUGCAAUGGAAGUGCUUUCUUUCCUUUGUUGAUACCAGAAUAGGAAACUGCAGCGCAAUUGUCUUGUGAAGCUGAGGUCUUAAAGCAAGCAGCUGAGAAAGAAGAGCACAUACAGAGUACUUGACAAAGCAAUUUAAGAAAACAACUAUUUCAGCAAAAUGGUAGAAGAAAAGCUGACUGCAUAAAUUGAGGCUAAUGAAGAGAAGUGGAAAGCACAGACUGCUGCUAAACUUGAGUGCUAAAGAGACACUAGCUAGCUGAAGUCUGAAAGAACAAAGAUUUCAAAGACACUACUGAAAACCGAAAGAAAUCCAAAAACUUUAUUUUC